RNAcentral lists this transfer RNA (73 nucleotides) under Ixodes scapularis (black-legged tick). RNAcentral describes it as "tRNA-Ser for anticodon GGA". It matches the Rfam family "tRNA". From Rfam's summary of the family: Transfer RNA (tRNA) molecules are approximately 80 nucleotides in length. Their secondary structure includes four short double-helical elements and three loops (D, anti-codon, and T loops). The record is from RNAcentral. Lineage: Eukaryota; Metazoa; Arthropoda; Arachnida; Ixodida; Ixodidae.
UCCUGGUUAGCUGUGUUGGUAGAGCGCUCCACUGGAAACGGAGAAGUCUCUGGUUGAACACCAGGACCAGGCG